Molecule: long non-coding RNA, 807 nt
Organism: Cynara cardunculus var. scolymus (artichoke)
Lineage: Eukaryota; Viridiplantae; Streptophyta; Magnoliopsida; Asterales; Asteraceae
Exons: 2
Source: RefSeq, a predicted model, not a curated record
CACUACUUCCUUUUACCAUUCGUUUCAUCUUCUUUCUCCGAUCACCGUCGUUCUUCCUCUACUCGCCGGAACCACAGCCUCUGCACUGCCGUCCACGACACCGGACUCCUCCAUCCUCCUGUCUCCGUCGAUCUCUAGACGCCGUAUACUUUUGUUCCUUUUCUCCCAUCUUUUUUUUUAUCGUCCUCUCGGUUUCCCCUUCCAAAUCUCACUCUAAACACCGUCGCCGGCGACAAGUAACAGCAAGGCUGUUCUUUUUCCGAUCUUCAUAUCUCAGUUACUUUCCAGUUGCUUGGAUCAACCUAACAAUAUACGAAUUUAUGCCAUGGAAGAUGUUUCUACAGAGUUGUUUUAUUAUCACAAACCUAAGAUCCCAUGGCUCUGAUCUUGCAUUUCCUUAUUGUUGGAAUCGGUGAUCUCGAAACUAUAAUCAGGUGAUCUGAAGCUGUGAAGGUGUGUCUGAAACACUUACAAGAUAAACUUAUUUAUAGGAAAGGAAAAGCAAAAACAACUGGCUACCGAAGGCUAUUACCGGAAACAAAUUCAACAUAUAAACAGUGAAAAGUUGGGAGCACUACUGAAAAGUAUGCCACAAUUUUCAAACUUAGAAAAGCAAGCUGCUUUUGUCUUUGUCUUUGUCUGCCACCAUUGUCUUAUACAGCUGUUAAGAUAACAGGUGUAUUUUAUCUUCAUGCUUUACAGGAAUUUGUCAGCCAGUCUUUUGAGAGCUUUUUCUUUGAAAAAUAUUCUCCAUUUGUUUUUUGCUUCUUCAUCAUCAUUAUGGAACUUGAGAAAUGUGUAGGCAGC